Molecule: long non-coding RNA, 490 nt
Organism: Nilaparvata lugens (brown planthopper)
Lineage: Eukaryota; Metazoa; Arthropoda; Insecta; Hemiptera; Delphacidae
Exons: 4
Source: RefSeq, a predicted model, not a curated record
GAGGAAUGUGACGAUGAAGAGUAUGAUUAUGCCAAUGGAAAGAGAGGCAUUACAAGCCAAUCAAAUAUCGCAAGAACCCUACCACUGUUACGAAUCUCAGAGAAAAGAUCCAACAGUAUGUUAGAAACAGACCUGAUCAGUUGAAGCCUGCUCCAGAAAAAUUGACACCUUACAGGGAUCCAGUAUUCACUCAAUGCUUUGAGCCUAUUGAUGAAGAACUUGAGAGACAGUUGAAAGAAGAAAGAGAAGCUGCUAAAAGACUGGCGGAGGAGAGAAAGCUGGAGUCUGAGGUUCAAUGCUACAAGAAGGUGAUCCCGUUCACUCUGCCCUGUAAGACCCAGCUGGAGUACCUGGAGUGUCUGGGAGCAAGCCCUUUGGCCCGGGUCAAGUACCUCGAGUACUCGAAACUGAUGAAGGAGGCCGAGUCCUAUAGGAGGCGGAUGCCCUGCGACUGGUCCUGUGAACAGCAGAGGGAGUACCUCGACUGCAU